Molecule: long non-coding RNA, 2301 nt
Organism: Vespa mandarinia (Asian giant hornet)
Lineage: Eukaryota; Metazoa; Arthropoda; Insecta; Hymenoptera; Vespidae
Source: RefSeq, a predicted model, not a curated record
UGUUACUCGCGCUUCGGCAGGGCGCUUUGUCAAGAGUCGCGCGUGAUUACGGACUGACCGAUCGUACGGAUUCAAAGUGAUCACUUCGUUUGAACUUUUCAUUCUCUCGUUUUCCUUUGAGAGAGGACAUGUGUAUUCGUUUCGUAAAUUGAAUUGUUUCGUACCGUACAGCUUUUCCGGCGUGGAUCGAGAAACGCGUAUUCCGCGUAUGUGCGAAAGCGAACAUCAAGAGAAUUGGUAAAUGCAUGUACGGCACUUUAGCGGGUUUCAACGCUAACGCUUUUCUACUUGUUUAUAUAGCCGUCCAAAGAGACAAACGCAAUACAGUGAAAUCCAUUAUUUCAUUGAAAAUCGAAUCAAUCCAAUAGCAAUCAAGGUAAAGGUGAAGCAACGUGAAUCCUCUUCCUCUUUCUCGUUAUCUUCGAUUUUUCGAAUUGAUUUUUGGCGCCUUCUUUUUAUGGUUACCGAGUUAAGUGAUAUAUGAAUUGAGAAAUAUACGUGACCGAUGAGAAACAAUCGACCAUAGAAAAAGAAUUACAGUGAUAUUACGAAGAAACGAAUAUGCAGAAUAUUUCUUGUGAUAAAGAACUAAAUUUAUUUCGUUUAGUAUAGUGAGUGUGUAUUAUUCGAAACAUUCGAAAAUGCCCCGGAAAAAAUUGACGAUCUUCGCAGGUUAGGUGUCCGUUGAUCUUAAAACGCGCGCGCCAAAAUUUUAUUGGGAAUUCUCUUGUUCUUAUUCGAAGGAAAAAUUCUACUUUCAUAGGGAAAAUAAUUCAUUGCUAUUACGUUUUCGUAACUUCAAAUUGCAUACAAAUUUGCAUAUGUAUGCAUGUGGGUGUAUGUAUAUACAUAUAUAUAUAUAUGCAUAUAUAUACAUAUAUAUACAUAUAUAUAUAUACGCCGUAGAUAUAUGAUUCAGACGUUGAAAUAAGAAAAAAAUAAAAAAAAAAUGUAUUUUCGUUAUUGACAAGAAGAGUGGGAAACAGAGCACGUGGUUUUCGCGUGGCUCGUGAAAAAAAAAGGUGGGAUAAUAGAUUUUUCUAAGAAAAUGCGACUUUCAAAGUUCAAGCUUUAUUUUUGAACGUUCGAGAAAACGAGAGAGAGAAAGAGAGAGAGAGAGAGAGAGAGAGCGAGAGCGAGAGCGAGAGCGAAAAGAAGAAGAAAAAGAAGAAAAGAAGAAAAUCGUGUUCGCUGUUUUCAAAGCAAACAUUUGCUUACAAACAAGUGAAAAUAUUUUUCGUUUAUUUCGACAAUACAAAAGUCGAAUUGAGUAAUACGCAUUGGUCGUAUGACUGGCCUGACUUUUGGUUGUUCUUAGAAAAUCGCGACGCCAUAUUGAAAUUUGAUAGCAAGUCACGCGAGUGUUUUUCUUGGCGCGAGAAUUGACUUCUAGAUAAAAGUUUUUUUCUUCUCUUAUCGCAUUUCAUCUCUUUUUUUUUUUUUUUUGCUUCUGUAUUCUUUUCAUCUAUCAUUGACAACAAAAGACGUCGAAGAAUUUUCGAGAAAAAAAAAAAACAAAUAAAACACAAAGAUCGAACGAGGUUUUUCAUAUUGCUUUCAAGGAUAUUUGGUGAAAAAAGAAGAAGAAGAAGAGGAAGAAGAAGAAGAAGAAGAAGAAGAAGAAAGAAUAUUGUAUAUCGAGAAUAAGCUAGAAAAAGAUAAGAAAAGAGAAAAAAAGGAUGGCGAAUCGUAAAGAGAAACAGCAAGAAUGAUGAAAGGAUGCAACCGAUGUAUCGAAAAAGAAUGAAAGUUAUACCUGGAAAUGUGACACAGUAUAUUAUUAAGAACUCGAGCUUGACAGAGCUUAUGUUUUACGGGAUGAACAUUUUUCACUUUUUACUGAACGACAUCUAAAAUAUCAAACGAGAUGCCACUUUCGAAUUCAAAACUCAGGCGGCCUAUUAUCGUGGACCAGAAAUAAUAAAUGAUCUAUCUCAUUUUCUUUCUCUUUAUCAUUCUCAAAGAACUUAUUCUCGUAUUUUUUUUAUCUCCCUCUCUUUCUCUUUUUCUAUUUUCAGUCGUUUUCGAAUUUUUACAAAAAAAAAAAAUAUAUAUAUAUAUAUAUGCAUAUAACUAUUUUUCACUUUGUUAAGCUAACACGUAGUCGCACAUUAUUACAAAAGUCAAAGUCAUUUUAAAGUUUCGAGAAACGUUAUUACCUAUUGCAUUCAAGGAAUAAAACGUGAUAUAUUUUACGAACUUAUCUUAAAUAGAUUCUCUAAAAGUAAUACUUUUUCUCGCAAUGUAAUCAGUGGACAAGCAGGUUUAAAAUGUUCGCCACAAUCGUAUAUAUAUAUAUAU